Molecule: long non-coding RNA, 993 nt
Organism: Phyllostomus discolor (pale spear-nosed bat)
Lineage: Eukaryota; Metazoa; Chordata; Mammalia; Chiroptera; Phyllostomidae
Exons: 3
Source: RefSeq, a predicted model, not a curated record
CCUUCUCAGUCCAUCUGAAGAGUGAAGACGCUGUAUCCAAUGACCUCUGAUAGUCCAUGCCAAACUAUAGAUCUUCUUGUAAGUGCGGGCAUGUAUGCAUGUGUGUGUGAUGUUGUUGUUCCUUUUCGCUUAGAGCACCAUCAGGGAUAAAUGCCUUUAUAUCCUGUGAUGCAGUGGGCUGAGUACCUGUCACCAGACUUGGGGAGGCAACAGAGGCAGGCAUUCAUUUCAACUACUGCCUCCUGCCUGCGAUGCCCGAUAGCAUAACUAGAAUGACUCAGUACUUCUGGCUUUAAAGACAGACUUUUGUGGCCAGAGAAGACAUUUACAGUUCAGGGCUGGACUCACAGAAACUUACUGACGUGACUUCCCAAUGCAACAUCUGUUCUGUCCUCCUGCAACUCAGCUUACUUCCUGGAUUUCAGCAGCCCCCCCCCCCGCAAAUAUUCAUGAGCAGACCCCUGUGGCUGGAUACCCUCAGGAGGGGCCCUGUGUGAUCUCGGCUCCAAUUCUCCUCCUCCGCACGAGCUGCGGUCCAGCACGUCCGCCUCAGACCUGGACCUCGCCCUGCUGCUGGCCAAAACCCACUUCAAUGAUUAGCAAAGGUGCCAGGGAAAUUAUGAAAAACAUGUGACAGGUAAAUGGCUGUGCCUGCAACUUUCUUAAGUUUCAAAGGGAAGACGGCUUCACUCUAGUGUGUGGGCUGGGAAUUCAGGCUUUUUAAGAGCUUUCCAGAAUGCAUGGGCAGAGCAGACCCUUGUAGGAUUCUGCUUUUCCUCUCAGUGGAAUCCAACUGGGCUCUGAGCCCCAGGGGACUGAGACCAAUCAUGGAAUAGGCUCUAUCCAAACACUAUGGCUUUGUUCUCCUACAUGAAGAAUGAAAAAGCAAACAGGUCCUGAGCAGAAAGGGAGCAAAGUAAAAAGGUCAGAGGGUUCUGCAGCUGGAAAACACCUUAGGUCUCUAAAUUCAAUCUUUCCCCUUUCCAGACUGGG